RNAcentral lists this ribosomal RNA (253 nucleotides) under uncultured bacterium. RNAcentral describes it as "partial 16S ribosomal RNA". It matches the Rfam family "Bacterial small subunit ribosomal RNA", at positions 524 to 776 of the family's 1533-position model. The record is from RNAcentral.
UACGUAGGGUGCAAGCGUUAAUCGGAAUUACUGGGCGUAAAGCGUGCGCAGGCGGUUUCGUAAGUCUGUCGUGAAAUCCCCGGGCUCAACCUGGGAACUGCAUUUGUGACUGCACAGCUGGAGUGCGGCAGAGGGGGAUGGAAUUCCGCGUGUAGCAGUGAAAUGCGUAGAUAUGCGGAGGAACACCGAUGGCGAAGGCAAUCCCCUGGGCCUGCACUGACGCUCAUGCACGAAAGCGUGGGGAGCAAACAGG